CCAACCAACCGCUUGGUUUGACCAGUGUCCUGUUUCCGUUUACAUCCCAUCCGUAAUUCCGCAGCAAGUUCGAGUCCAAGUCCGCGUCCACAUCUGCAGGGUCCUCAAGGCCUAGUGCGACUGCCCUAACAUCCGUGUCAACCUCUGAGGCACCAUACCCGUUGCCUAUCUUGGACGUGUUUAUAUCCAGUUUAUGUGAAUAUUGGUUAAUCAAAGAUCUGAUAUGGCGGGCCCAAUACCCGGUAGCAUUGUGACAGGCUGCGUCAAGGUGACAUGUUGAGAGGUACAGUCUCCUGGGCGUAGCCCACGUACUCGAGUUUAAGAGGUGGUCCAACCAUAAAUAAAUCGCCUCGCUAUAUGAGUCUUCCUCCAUAGUAGUGUUAUCCUUAUCGGCAAGGGCACGAACUAACUCAUCGCUUAGUGUGGUUAGAAAUGUUGGCUGCUGUCGACAUAGCUCUUUUAAAAAUGCAUCCCAUGUCGAGAAUGCACUUUCCAUGGAACUUCCAAGACUGGAAUAAGAAUUAGCAAAGACGGCUUCUUUUCCGUGAGGGUGUUAAUAUACUGACGUUCUGCCAACUGGAACCAAAAUACCGUGCUCCAAAAGCGUUUUGGUGACAGUCAGUUCUCCCUGCCGAAAUCUGCAAAUCAGAGCGACAUUUUUUAAUCCCGGAAACGAUUCCGAUUUUCGGGAACCUCUUGUCGCAUAACUUUCACUUAGUCUGUUCUCGCCAAGGACCGCAUUUUUCAAUGUCUUUUGGACUUCAUUUUUCGUGAAUGGAAAUACGCCAUUUGGCUCUUGAACGUCCAUGCCCGCAUCGGCAACCUCGAUAUCCCCUAACCCGGCCCAAUAAAAUUCCCAAAGCCAAUCCAGGGACCGGUGAGCGGCAUUUCGAAGUACAGUAAGAGCGGGUAACUCCCUAUGUGUUGCCUCGUGGCGCAGUUCUACAAAUGAAGCUGGUAGGCCGAGUUCCAUUGCCCUUUGGAACAUAGUCUGUUUUCUCCCGUACAACUUCGAGUCAACUAGUCCGGUUACAAAUCUGCGUUGCAAAGAGUAAGUAACACGUGAAUUUGUGGGGUGCAAACGGCUAAAUUGCCAAGAAGGGAAUCGCUGAGAGUUAAUAUAUAUAUGUAUAUAUAUAUUAUGUUCGUUUGUUCGUUUGCUGAGACCAAAACAAAGUUUUAAAGGGAAUGGAAAGCGAUAGCCAUCUUACCUGCAAAAAGCUGCUGAGUAAGUUGCUCGAAUGGAAAAGAUAGAAUGCUUUCUUGCAUCAUCAUCAUGUAGUAUAGCAUCAGUUAAUAAUGCGGUCGCCUCUACUGCAUGCGGCAGGUUCCCGCGCAAUUUCCAAACCCAGAC
This 1354-nucleotide small RNA is filed under the name Histoplasma ohiense. RNAcentral's name for it is "hypothetical lncRNA". The record is from RNAcentral. Lineage: Eukaryota; Fungi; Ascomycota; Eurotiomycetes; Onygenales; Ajellomycetaceae.